This is a non-coding RNA of Anas platyrhynchos (mallard), 781 nucleotides long. Lineage: Eukaryota; Metazoa; Chordata; Aves; Anseriformes; Anatidae. The record is from RefSeq and is a predicted model, not a curated record.
AGGGGCAGCAACUGCAAAUCCUUCCCAGCUGGUGGCUCCGUCACUGCUUUGUGAGUUUAGGAGUCCCCAGAGCACAGGGAUUCAGGGGCCAAGAGGCACUGGUGCAGAUUUUAGGCUGGAGGGGACCUGGUGGUAGCAUCCCACCUGCUGUCUGGGGGUGUCACCUGCCUUGGGGCUGUUUCGGGCUAAACGUGAUUCUAAUCUGGAUUAUUUUAAUGAGCUUCCUUAUGUGAACAACAACAGGCUCUGCUUCCUGGCCUGCCACCUGCAUCAUGCCUGGCCUCUUCAGCUGUGGAACAGGAAGAAAAGGAAUUCCUGGACUCCAUCCUCACUGCAGAAGCCUUGAGAGAACAGUGCCUGGAAGCUGGCAGUCUGCAGGCUCAGCACCUGGAACAGCCAUAGGUGCUGGCAAGGUGUUUGAAAGCCCACUCUACAUGGCUGAUCCAAAGGAACUGGCUGCCUCCUAACAGCCUUUGAGUAAAUUCAACAUUGCACUGGAACCCAAUUAAUCAUUCUCAUUACCACAAGCCUACUCCCAGCUUCAUAGAAAUGAAUAUGUAUGCAAUAAUUAUUGCAACUGCAGGCUCACAAGCACUUUUUUUGGUAGUGAAAAGUAAUCAAAUUUCUAUUACAUGAACCUAUGAACCAAUUCCAAAUGUCUGGAGUGACUUAGUUCCAAUGCAGAACAAGACACUUAUAUUAGGAUUAAACAAAUAGUCCCCAAAUUCAAAUAUAAGAACUAUAAAAUACAUGAUCAUCAAAGUAGAAAUACCUACAUGGA